Long non-coding RNA from Pseudophryne corroboree (corroboree frog), 493 nucleotides. RefSeq lists it as uncharacterized. The record is from RefSeq and is a predicted model, not a curated record. The transcript is spliced from 3 exons. Lineage: Eukaryota; Metazoa; Chordata; Amphibia; Anura; Myobatrachidae.
ACGGGCAAGGGACAAGUUACCCCAGCGUUUCCCCACCACCCUCUUGCCCCCACUGCCAUUAAUCAUGGCACUGCACUGUAAAAGAUACCUGAGGUCCGAAAAGGGGGUGGGGCUAAACGGCACUGACUUGCCAGUUGCAAGCAGCACGGAAGAAUGGAGGGGAUGUGAGCAGCAGAACAGCCAAACAUGUUUCCAGGGUGAUGGGAGCACGGCAGCCGCGCACCUCGUUGCUAAGAGCCGGGACGUCAGCGCUAACGCGCAUGAGAAUGAUGUCAUCGCGCCACAGCAGAGAGCAGGAUAGCAGCGCAUUACACUUGGGUCCCAACAGAUUACUGAGAAGACGGCAUAAAUAUUCGGAAGCAUGCUUACCUCGUUAUUUAGCGUGGAUGAUCUGUCUGGAGGAAGUCAGCCACUGUACAGUGCUUAAUUAGGAUAGAAAAAGAAUAUGAACCGCGAGCUAGCCUUACCUCAGGGUACCCGUACUUAUCAUCAG